GCUGACUCUUGCUUGUGGUGGGGUAGCCCUGAAUUCUUUUGACGACCUAAGUCCUGACUGCUUGGGACAUGCAGGACUUGUAUAUGAGUAUACAUUGGGAGAAGAGAAGUUUACCUUUAUUGAGAAAUGUAACAACCCUCGUUCUGUCACAUUAUUGAUCAAAGGACCAAAUAAGCACACACUCACUCAGAUCAAAGAUGCAGUGAGGGAUGGCUUGAGGGCUGUCAAAAAUGCUAUUGAUGAUGGCUGUGUGGUUCCAGGUGCUGGUGCCGUGGAAGUGGCAAUGGCAGAAGCCCUGAUUAAACAUAAGCCCAGUGUAAAGGGCAGGGCACAGCUUGGAGUCCAAGCAUUUGCUGAUGCAUUGCUCAUUAUUCCCAAGGUUCUUGCUCAGAACUCUGGUUUUGACCUUCAGGAAACAUUAGUUAAAAUUCAAGCAGAACAUUCAGAAUCAGGUCAGCUUGUGGGUGUGGACCUGAACACAGGUAAGAGAAUGCAACUGUUGUAGAGGGAAAACUAGAUGUAAUACGUGUGAGUUGAAGCCAGGAAAGAUUAAAAAUGUUUUGCUUUGCAAUUUGACACCAGUGCUGUUAGGGAACUCUGGGUUCUAAAAUGGGAUAAAAUAGGAUAUUAAUAAAAAAUGGAAUGACUAGGUAUAAUUAAGGGACGAGUAGACAUGAGUAAUUUGGGGAUAC
RNAcentral lists this small RNA (692 nucleotides) under Pan troglodytes (chimpanzee). RNAcentral describes it as "retained intron". Lineage: Eukaryota; Metazoa; Chordata; Mammalia; Primates; Hominidae. The record is from RNAcentral.